This 1464-nucleotide long non-coding RNA is filed under the name Homo sapiens (human). RNAcentral's name for it is "HSALNT0395276". Lineage: Eukaryota; Metazoa; Chordata; Mammalia; Primates; Hominidae. The record is from RNAcentral.
UCCCAGCACUUUGGGAGGCCGAGGCAGGUGGAUCACGAGGUCAGGAAAUCGAGACCAUCCCGGCUAAAACGGUGAAACCCCGUCUCUACUAAAAAUACAAAAAAUUAGCCGGGCGUGGUGGCGGGCGCCUGUAGUCCCAGCUACUUGGGAGGCUGAGGCAGGAGAAUGGCGUGAACCCGGGAGGCGGAGCUUGCAGUGAGCUGAGAUCGCGCCACUGCACUCCAGCCUGGGCGACAGAGCGAGACUCCGUCUCAAAAAAAAAAAAAAAAAAAGAGGUUGGAUAAAUGUACUAUUGUCUAUACUGGAAUUUUAUGCUCGUGCUAAUAAAAAUGAGAUGGAUUUUUGCUUUAUGACAUGUACAAAUGAUCACAACAUAUUUUUAAGUGACAGGACAGUUAUGAACCUUUUUAUUGUUAAAGUAAUGCAUUUCUAAUUAUCAUACGUACUGUUAUAUACUAUUAUACACGCUCACACUAUAAACAAUUAUACAUACCUAUAUGGGUACUUACACACACACACACACACACACACACACAUCUUUCUAUCCCCAAAUCUGGGAGUGUGUCCGGAAUUGGUGGGUUCUUGGUCUCACUGACUUCAAGAAUGAAGCCGCGGACGCUCGCGGUGAGUGUUACAGCUCUUAACGUGGCGCGUCUGGAGUUUGUUCCUUCUGAUGUUCGGAUGUGUUGGGAGUUUCUUUCUUCUUGUGGGUUCGUGGUCUCGCUGGCUCAGGAGUGAAGCUGGAGACCUUCGCGGUGAGUGUUACAGCUCUUAAGGCAGCAUGUCUGGAGUUGUUCGUUCCUCCUGGGGGGCUCGUGGUCUCGCUGGCUUCAGGAGUGAAGCUGCAGAUCUUCGCGGUGAGUGUUACAGCUCAUAAAAGCAGUGUGGACCCAAAGAGUGAGCAGUAGCAAGAUUUAUUGCAAAGCGCGAAAGAACAAAGCUUCCACAGUGUGGAAGGGGACCCGAGCGGGUUGCCACUGUUGGCUAGGGCAGUCUGCUUUUAUUCUCUUAUCUGGCCCCACGCACAUCCUGCUGAUUGGUAGAGCCCAGUGGUCUGUUUUGACAGGGCGCUGAUUGGUGCGUUUACAAUCCCUGAGCUAGAUAUAAAGGUUCUCCACGUCCCCAUCAGGUUAGUUAGAUACAGAGUAUGGACACAAAGGUUCUCCAAGGCCCCACCAGAGUAGCUAGAUACAGAGUGUCAAUUGGUGCAUUCACAAACCUUGAGCUAAACGCAGGGUGCUGAUUGGUGUGUUUACAAACCUUGAGUUAGACACAGAGUGCCGAUUGGUGUAUUUACAAUCCCUGAGCUAGACAUAAAGGUUCUCCAAGGACCCACCAGAGUAGCUAGAUAUAGAGUGUCAAUUGGUGUAUUUAUAAUCUCUGAGCUAGACACAGGGUGCUGAUUGGUGUAUUUACAAUCCCUGAGCUAGACAUAAAGGUUCACCAUGUCCUCACCAGAGCAGC